UACGGAGGGGGCUAGCGUUGUUCGGAAUUACUGGGCGUAAAGCGCACGUAGGCGGCUUUGUAAGUUAGAGGUGAAAGCCCAGGGCUCAACCCUGGAAUUGCCUUUAAGACUGCAUCGCUUGAAUAUCGGAGAGGUAAGUGGAAUUCCGAGUGUAGAGGUGAAAUUCGUAGAUAUUCGGUAGAACACCAGUGGCGAAGGCGACUUGCUGGACGAUUGUUGACUCUGAGGUGCGAAAGCGUGGGGAGCAAACAGG
RNAcentral lists this ribosomal RNA (253 nucleotides) under uncultured bacterium. Its description in RNAcentral is "partial 16S ribosomal RNA". It matches the Rfam family "Bacterial small subunit ribosomal RNA", at positions 524 to 776 of the family's 1533-position model. The record is from RNAcentral.